UGGGGAAUAUUGCAUAAUGGGCGCAAGCCUGAUGCAGCAACGCCGCGUGAACGAUGAAGGUCUUCGGAUCGUAAAGUUCUGUUGCAGGGGAAGAUAAUGACGGUACCCUGUGAGGAAGCCCCGGCUAACUACGUGCCAGCAGCCGCGGUAAUACGUAGGGGGCUAGCGUUAUCCGGAUUUACUGGGCGUAAAGGGUGCGUAGGUGGUCCUUCAAGUCGGUGGUUAAAGGCUACGGCUCAACCGUAGUAAGCCGCCGAAACUGGAGGACUUGAGUGCAGGAGAGGAAAGUGGAAUUCCCAGUGUAGCGGUGAAAUGCGUAGAUAUUGGGAGGAACACCAGUAGCGAAGGCGGCUUUCUGGACUGCAACUGACACUGAGGCACGAAAGCGUGGGUAGCAAACAGG
This 403-nucleotide ribosomal RNA is filed under the name Verrucomicrobiota bacterium. RNAcentral describes it as "Verrucomicrobia bacterium partial 16S ribosomal RNA". It matches the Rfam family "Bacterial small subunit ribosomal RNA", at positions 355 to 776 of the family's 1533-position model. Lineage: Bacteria; Pseudomonadati; Verrucomicrobiota. The record is from RNAcentral.